Molecule: ribosomal RNA, 334 nt
Filed under: uncultured eukaryote
Lineage: Eukaryota
Description: partial 18S ribosomal RNA
Rfam family: Eukaryotic small subunit ribosomal RNA
Source: RNAcentral
CCCUUAGAUGUCCGGGGCCGCACGCACGCUACACUGAAGGAAUCAGCGUGGCUUUCUCCCUGACCCGAAAGGGUUGGGAAACCCGUUGAAUCUCCUUCGUGAUAGGGAUUGGGGCUUGAAAUUGUUCCCCAUGAACGAGGAAUUCCCAGUAAGCGCGAGUCAUAAGCUCGCGUUGAUUACGUCCCUGCCCUUUGUACACACCGCCCGUCGCUACUACCGAUUGAACGGUUUAGUGAGGGCCUCGGAUUGGUCUCGGCCCGCUCUUUACCGGGCGGCGCCGUUGGUCGAGAAGACGCUCGAACUUGAUCGUUUAGAGGAAGUAAAAGUCGUAACA